GCGGGCGUAGAGUUCGGUAUUGAAGCGGCGCAGGAAGGCGAUGGCCUCCAGAUUCUCCCGCCCGCCAUGCUGGUUCGGAAUCCAGCCGCCCGCG
RNAcentral lists this transfer RNA (94 nucleotides) under Bradyrhizobium sp. RNAcentral describes it as "tRNA-OTHER". Lineage: Bacteria; Pseudomonadati; Pseudomonadota; Alphaproteobacteria; Hyphomicrobiales; Nitrobacteraceae. The record is from RNAcentral.